UCGAGCCGGAUGAUAAAAAAUUAUCAUGUUCGGUUCCUUUGGAGGAUGGAUCUAUAAGAAUUUGCCUAUCCCAAU
Molecule: non-coding RNA, 75 nt
Filed under: Olea europaea subsp. europaea
Lineage: Eukaryota; Viridiplantae; Streptophyta; Magnoliopsida; Lamiales; Oleaceae
Source: RNAcentral